Molecule: ribosomal RNA, 253 nt
Filed under: uncultured bacterium
Lineage: Bacteria
Description: partial 16S ribosomal RNA
Rfam family: Bacterial small subunit ribosomal RNA
Source: RNAcentral
UACGAAGGGGGCUAGCGUUGCUCGGAAUCACUGGGCGUAAAGGGUGCGUAGGCGGGUCUUUAAGUCAGGGGUGAAAUCCUGGAGCUCAACUCCAGAACUGCCUUUGAUACUGAAGAUCUUGAGUUCGGGAGAGGUGAGUGGAACUGCGAGUGUAGAGGUGAAAUUCGUAGAUAUUCGCAAGAACACCAGUGGCGAAGGCGGCUCACUGGCCCGAUACUGACGCUGAGGCACAAAAGCGUGGGGAGCAAACAGG